This 492-nucleotide ribosomal RNA is filed under the name uncultured bacterium. RNAcentral's name for it is "partial 16S ribosomal RNA". It matches the Rfam family "Bacterial small subunit ribosomal RNA", at positions 29 to 507 of the family's 1533-position model. The record is from RNAcentral.
AGUGAACGCUGGCGGUAGGCCUAACACAUGCAAGUCGAACGGCAGCACAGUAAGAGCUUGCUCUUACGGGUGGCGAGUGGCGGACGGGUGAGGAAUACAUCGGAAUCUACUUUUUCGUGGGGGAUAACGUAGGGAAACUUACGCUAAUACCGCAUACGACCUACGGGUGAAAGCAGGGGAUCUUCGGACCUUGCGCGAUUGAAUGAGCCGAUGUCGGAUUAGCUAGUUGGCGGGGUAAAGGCCCACCAAGGCGACGAUCCGUAGCUGGUCUGAGAGGAUGAUCUGCCACACUGGAACUGAGACACAGUCCAGACUCCUACGGGAGGCAGCAGUGGGGAAUAUUGGACAAUGGGCGCAAGCCUGAUCCAGCCAUACCGCGUGGGUGAAGAAGGCCUUCGGGUUGUAAAGCCCUUUUGUUGGGAAAGAAAAGCAGCAGGUUAAUACCCCGCUGUUCUGACGGUACCCAAAGAAUAAGCACCGGCUAACUUCGUG